This 253-nucleotide ribosomal RNA is filed under the name uncultured bacterium. RNAcentral describes it as "partial 16S ribosomal RNA". It matches the Rfam family "Bacterial small subunit ribosomal RNA", at positions 524 to 776 of the family's 1533-position model. The record is from RNAcentral.
GACAGAGGUGCCGAGCGUUAGGCGGAAUCACUGGGCUUAAAGCGUGUGUAGGCGGGUCGUUAAGUGUCUUGUGAAAUCCCACCGCUCAACGGUGGAACUGCUGGGCAUACUGGCGAUCUUGAGCCACCUAGGGGCAGACGGAACAAGCGGUGGAGCGGUGAAAUGCGUAGAUAUCGCUUGGAACGCCGACGGUGAAAACAGUCUGUUGGGGGUGUGCUGACGCUGAGACACGAAAGCCAGGGGAGCGAACGGG